RNAcentral lists this long non-coding RNA (107 nucleotides) under Meriones unguiculatus (Mongolian gerbil). Its description in RNAcentral is "Polled intersex syndrome regulated transcript 1 (ENSMUGG00000004811.1)". It matches the Rfam family "Polled intersex syndrome regulated transcript 1". Rfam says of the family: PISRT1 (polled intersex syndrome regulated transcript 1) is a noncoding RNA. Lineage: Eukaryota; Metazoa; Chordata; Mammalia; Rodentia; Muridae. The record is from RNAcentral.
UUUAUUGUGUUCCUCAAUAUUAAGGUAACUGCAAACAUAUUGCUGAAAGAAAAUAAAAGGUAAGUCUCCGGCUUUAGUCUACGAUAACUUAAAGAAGCAGACCCAGG